This 911-nucleotide long non-coding RNA is filed under the name Marmota monax (woodchuck). The record is from RNAcentral. Lineage: Eukaryota; Metazoa; Chordata; Mammalia; Rodentia; Sciuridae.
GUGAAUUCUAGGUGUGGAAAGAAAGGCUUUGUCCAGGGAGAGAAUAUAAACAAAUCUGCUAUCACAGAAAAGGCCCAGAGUCAUUAUGUACUUUUAUAGUGGGCAGUGUGUAAGAAGGUCAAAAAAAGGACACAACAUAUGAAGUGAAAGAAAUGUCACAUUUUCUUGAAUUGUCAUUUUCAAGAUGAUGAUUAUUAUUUUCAUAAUUGCAAUCAAGUACCAUCUGUCUGAUGAUCCCUACACUUUUUAUUGUGGGUGGUCAGUCGUAAUGAUAGCUAUCUAUAAAUAUUAUUAAUUUGAUCAUUAUUACAAUAAUAAGCACUAAGCCACACAUUGAAGAGUUUCUUUCCUCAGUUAUGUUGCUAAGCAACAGAAGUUUAUGGCUAGGAAAGGCUGUGUGAUAUAAUGAAAAGAGCACCCAAUGGAGUUAAGAAGAUAAGGAUCCCUGUUCUAACAAUGCUGCCAAGAGGUUCUAGGGCACUGGAAAAAUCACUUGCAAAGCACCCUGGACCUCAUUUCUUAAAGGAAACUAUAAAUGAAUAGAAAUUGUCUACCCAAAAUAUGUAGUCUACUGCCAGGGUCUUACAAGAAUUCCUGUUUGUUGGAAUAUGUGAAAUAUGAAGAAAGCCUUUGCCAAACACAUCACUCAGAAGUGGGGCCAGGCUUGGAAAAAAAUGCAGAAACAGUUCCUUGAUAGAUGACAUGAGUUAAAGAAAGCCAGCAGAAAACACAAAAACCAGAAUGGAUAUGUAUUGCUCACUCUUUAGGACUUUUAUGAUACCUGAAAUUGACAAUGAUGACUCUUCUGGAUCUGGAGGACCUAGAAGUUUUCUGGCUCCCUCUUUUUAAUGCUACUGUGACUUUGGAGUCUAUACCAUAAACAAGAACAUUCAUUUAGAACUACUAAUUGG